Long non-coding RNA from Mustela erminea (ermine), 529 nucleotides. RefSeq lists it as uncharacterized. The transcript is spliced from 4 exons. NCBI's taxonomy places the organism in Eukaryota, Metazoa, Chordata, Mammalia, Carnivora, Mustelidae. The record is from RefSeq and is a predicted model, not a curated record.
GGCCCCGCGGGGCAGGAGCGCGGCGGGCGGGCUCCCUGUGCACCUGCGGAAGACCCGGGGCUCCCACCAGGGACGCCGUGAAAAAGGCGCAAACGGACCUUGGUCUUACUGCCGGGGAAAGCCUCCCGCCUCCUCUUCUGGACGGACAAACACAGUGGUACACAGCUCCUUUUUUCAGUGGGGUGGAGUUUCCUGAAUGCAGAAGCCGAUGUAAAAAACCAGCUGUCUUACUCUGAGACAUUCCAUCAUUGCUUUGAAAUGAAGGGACGAAUGCCGUUUGAACCUUUCUGCUCCUGAGUGGAAACUCAGAGACAGAGCGCCUUCAGGAAUAUGGAAAAGCUCCUCGGAGUGAAGUGUGCACGCACAGGACCUCCAACUCCUAAUUGUCUGUGACAAGGCUGAUGUAGAGUAUUUGGAAAAUAUGCGAUUGUGGAAGGAAGAAAAAUUUACCCCAAGAUGAACAGAAGAAAAUCACGUUUUUGUCUGUGUAAUGUUUCUUUUGCUUAAUAAACAUAUUUGUGUAUACACA